GGACGAACGCUGGCGGCGUGCCUAACACAUGCAAGUCGAACGGAGUCAAGAAGCUUGCUUUUGACUUAGUGGCGGACGGGUGAGUAACGCGUGAGUAACCUGCCUCUGAGAGGGGAAUAACGUUCUGAAAAGAACGCUAAUACCGCAUAAUGUAUCGAAGCCGCAUGACUUUGAUACCAAAGAUUUUAUCGCUCGGAGAUGGACUCGCGUCCGAUUAGUUAGUUGGUGAGGUAACGGCUCACCAAGACCGCGAUCGGUAGCCGGACUGAGAGGUUGAUCGGCCACAUUGGGACUGAGACACGGCCCAGACUCCUACGGGAGGCAGCAGUGGGGGAUAUUGCGCAAUGGGGGCAACCCUGACGCCAGCAACGCCGCGUGAAGGAUGAAGGUUUUCGGAUUGUAAACUUCUUUUAUCAGGGACGAAGCUUGACGGUACCUGAUGAAUAAGCUCCGGCUAACUACGUGCCAGCAGCUGC
This 476-nucleotide ribosomal RNA is filed under the name uncultured bacterium. RNAcentral's name for it is "bacterial SSU rRNA". It matches the Rfam family "Bacterial small subunit ribosomal RNA", at positions 27 to 518 of the family's 1533-position model. The record is from RNAcentral.